CAGGGUGCCCAGACCUUGCUUUUGUCGGUGCUAUGAAGUGGGAGGGGAACAUGAGCCAUGGCACUCACCAGCACCUUUGAUACUAGUGUGUUCCAGCAGCUCCCUGGCCUUUUGGCAGAUGCCCUUAGAACUCAUUCCAUUAUCUUCCAGUUGUUCUUUUAAUCUACAGCCUUUUUUUUCCUGUGCAGUAGGGCAGCUGGGGCUAGUGGGGUCCUAAGGGACUGAGGCUCACUGAUGCAGCAGGCCAGCUCCCAUCUAUGCUAUCAGUCAGGGUGGACAGGGAAUAUGAACAAUGGUGCUGGCCAGUACCUGGGACCCAGGGAGAGUGUUCUAGCAGCUCCCUGCCGUUUUUCAGAUGCUCUAGAGCUGGUUCCUUCAUAUUCUAGAUGCUCUUUUAAAGUGCGUCUUUUUUAUCUCUGCCACAGGGCUGAGCUGUACUUUUGGUCUCUGGAUACUACCUUCCCCACUGCAGUUGGCAAGAUGGGGGCGUGGCGGGGCAGGGGGUUGGAUUACUGUUGUUACUGUGUCUCUCUCUCUCCUUUCUCUGUGUGGUCCCUCUAUCCCUGUUCAGUCAGCCCUAGUUCUUCAGGGGGAAUUGCUCAACAUGUAGGCGUAGAUUCAGUGUGUGGAGGAGGUGAGCUGAGGGUCUUUCUGCAUCAUUGUCUUCCCUCCUUUGUAAACAAAACUUUUAGGUGUCUAUGAACACAUAAUGAAGUUAUUAUAAUUUUAGUCUUAGAAGUUUGCUAGAGAAGUAUCACUGUUCCUAAAAUAUUUUAUAACCCUGGCACUUGAUAGAAUGAUUCUUUAAAGCUGCUUAAUCUUCCCAUUGUCUGCUCUCAUAUGGGCACAUAGGUUGAGAAAUCUAGCUAUCACCAUUUACUUCUAUUUUGAGGGUUAAAUUUUAAAACAUACCAAUGGCACUUUGAGAAGUAAUUGAGACCUUGUUUUCAUAUAUGAAUCCAAUACUAGUCUCUUUGAAAGUCAGAAAUUGUUUUGGAUGUGCCAUGUAUACCAUUUUUAAAUAUACACAAAAGCUACCUUUGUAUGGAGUUGAAGGAUCUGAUCUGCCUCCUGACUUCUUGGUUUUAUUUUAGCUGAAGUUAUCCAACCCCCAGUAACUUUGGUUGUAUUGUGGGUAAGAGCAACUUUAUUCGUGUGGGAAAAGCCAGAGUUGACUUCUGGGUUCCACCUUCAUGGCAGGAAGAGGACUCAGGAAAAGCUGGCCACAAAUGCCUAAGUUUGCCCAAGUGCCCAGCGUGGGCUUGGCCUUGGAAAGCUUGUGUUACCCUUUGGGGGUAUACCUGCAGAUAAAGCUCAUUAAAAUGUCAAAACCUGGUAGUGCAUUCUCCAGCUGUAGAGAAAUACAGGAGAGGUGGGGAAGGAAUACACUAUAGUGGUUUUCCCAUGUUAGAACUCUGUGGAUUUCACUGGACUUUUGGAGUCACCUCGUCUCCAGUUUUUGGUAAGAUACCUUGAGAGAGAGAGAAUUUACCACCUCUUCCAGGUCCCGGCUGUCUUUAGACAAUGUGGCAAAGAUUUCCUUUUACUUCUGCUUUCUCUGUAAGAUGGCUAAGCAAGCAAGAACUCUCUGAGAACGUAACAUUUCCUCUUCCACACUCAUUACCGUGGAGUUGCUCCACUCUGAUUCCUUGAGCUUUAUUGAUUGAAGUCAGAGGGUUAUUUAUAUUUGAUGUGCCUGGUGGCACCGGUGUUCACAAAGCAUCUGGAAGACCUUUGUGGUAAGUAUAAGACUACUCAAGGACAAAAGAAUUUUCUCACCAAAAGCUUUCCAGAAAUAUACCUUACAAAGGCUCUGUGAAGCAUGCUCUCUGGAGAUUAUACAUAAUAUAUACAUAAUUAUUAUAUGUAGUUACAUAUCUAAUUUAUGGAAAGUAAUGGUCUUAAUCUUUGAUUAGUAAGCAUGACUUUUAAAUAAAAGUGAAUAAUGACAUUUCAUUGAAAAUUACUUUUGAGAAUAUAUGCAAUCAGUUGUUUAUUGGAAGUGACUUGGGAAAGAAGCAGAGUGCGUAGAAGAUUGUAUUAAGUGCCUUAUAAGAUGUAAUUCAUCUAUUUAGUGUUUUAAAAAUAAAAAAUUAAGGUUUCAUCCAAAAGGUAAUCCUGUUUAUCAUUUAUUUUUUUUAUUCAGGUGAUAUAAACAUUCAGUAUGGUUUUAAAGCAGUUCUCACCUCUAAGCUUCUUUCCACAGCUUCUUUUCCCUAAGUGGAAAGACUUCAUUUUCAUUUCUGAGAACUUGGUAGCUUUUCCUGGCAUAAUGAAGAACAUGUUAUAGAUUCAGGCUUUUAGGUUUCUUAACAGUAUGUUUGAUCUUUCAUUCUUUUCCUGAGAUUUCUUCUCUGCCUUUAUUAGUAAAGCCUUCUGUCUCUGGAAAUUUUGUUAAAUCAGAAAGACUUCAUUUCUCUGCUGUGACAAAAAUCCCCUCUGCUAUGGAGAAGACAGGAGCCCCUUAGUCCUCAUUUCAUGGAAUUGCAUUUAAUAUUUUUGGUCUUUUCAGACUGACCCCAAUUCUUGGCAUUCAGAAGCAUUCUCAGGAAAAUGUGGUGUUUACACAGUUUAUAGAGACUUUGCUUGAAGAAUUAAAUUUAAAGAAUGAAGACCUUGAAAGCUUAACCAUCAUAUUUAAAACCAGCUGUUAACCACGGAGUGGUAUAAUCCAUGAAGACCAAAUAGAAGAUGAUCGUCUAUUCAUCAUUUCUGGAAUUCUAGCUACAAUAAUGUUCUGGUGGUAACUGAUAACUAGCUUUGUUCCAAGAAAGACCUCCUUAGAUUUCAGCCCCCUGCUUCCCAGUCCCUAACUGUACAGUGACUUCCCCUAGAUAGAGGAGAACCAUUUUUCCAACAAGGAUAACCAAGUCCUUGCAUCCCUAGCUGUAAGACAUAAGAUUUUUAUUUACUUGAAAAUUUAAAUCUUAAGUUGAAACGUUAAUAAAUAUUGAUCUUAUUGGUUGACAAACAUUUGAGAACAUUCCCAUUUUGGCCUCACAAUCUAAACUCUAGAUUCUAAAAACAGUGAAGAGUUCAAUAAAUGCAAUCUAAGAUGAA
Leptonychotes weddellii (Weddell seal) is the source of this 3060-nucleotide non-coding RNA. Lineage: Eukaryota; Metazoa; Chordata; Mammalia; Carnivora; Phocidae. The record is from RefSeq and is a predicted model, not a curated record.